GACGAACGCUGGCGGCGUGCUUAACACAUGCAAGUCGAACGGAAAGGCCUGUCCUUCCUUGUGUUGGACGGGUACUCGAGUGGCGAACGGGUGAGUAACACGUGAGUGAUCUGCCCCCAACUUGGGUAUAAGCCUGGGAAACUGGGUCUAAUUCCCGAUAGGACUGCAGGGUGGUGCCUGUGGUGGAAAACGAUUUUCUAGUGGUUGGGGAUGAGCUCGCGGCCUAUCAGCUUGUUGGUGGGGUAAUGGCCUACCAAGGCGGCGACGGGUAGCCGGCCUGAGAGGGUGGACGGCAACAUUGGGACUGAGAUACGGCCCAGACUCCUACGGGAGGCAGCAGUGGGGAAUAGUGCACAAUGGGCGGAAGCCUGAUGCAGCGACGCCGCGUGGGGGAUGACGGCCUUCGGGUUGUAAACUCCUUUCGACCGCGAGGAAGCCGCCUGGUUGGAAGGGUGGUGACGGUAGUGGUAGAAGAAGCACCGGCUAACUACGUG
Molecule: ribosomal RNA, 494 nt
Filed under: uncultured bacterium
Lineage: Bacteria
Description: partial 16S ribosomal RNA
Rfam family: Bacterial small subunit ribosomal RNA
Source: RNAcentral